GGCUCCAGACCAAUGCAGCACAUUGUGAGUUUGCGAUCUCUUAGAAUAUAAACUCAUAUAAAGCUCAAUCAGAUGCAAAUUUAAGACAUCAGCCCCUCUAGAUGACAAGCAGCCUACGAGUGUGAUGUGCCCGUCCACCUGCAAGACAAGCAGCCAGGAAGGAGAAUCUCUGCACGCCCAAGGAAGCCUGCAGCCUGCAGACAGUGUCCCUGCUACAGAGACAACCAGGCACCAGUUUUAAAGCAAAAGCGCCAGCGCUCUCCUGCUUCUGCAGACCUUCCCCAGAAGAGGAAGCGGACCUCUGUGGCCCCCAGCCCCCAGACCCCCACUGCUGCACUGCACCUUGACCAACCUGUAAAGAUACACAACCG
Molecule: long non-coding RNA, 371 nt
Filed under: Cottoperca gobio
Lineage: Eukaryota; Metazoa; Chordata; Actinopteri; Perciformes; Bovichtidae
Description: lncRNA (ENSCGOG00000024181.1)
Source: RNAcentral